UACGUAGGGUGCAAGCGUUGUCCGGAAUUAUUGGGCGUAAAGAGCUCGUAGGCGGUCUGUCGCGUCGGCUGUGAAAUCCCGAGGCUCAACCUCGGGUCUGCAGUCGAUACGGGCAAACUAGAGUAUUGCAGGGGGAGACUGGAAUUCCUGGUGUAGCGGUGAAAUGCGCAGAUAUCAGGAGGAACACCGGUGGCGAAGGCGGGUCUCUGGGCAAUAACUGACGCUGAGGAGCGAAAGCGUGGGGAGCAAACAGG
This 254-nucleotide ribosomal RNA is filed under the name uncultured bacterium. Its description in RNAcentral is "partial 16S ribosomal RNA". It matches the Rfam family "Bacterial small subunit ribosomal RNA", at positions 524 to 776 of the family's 1533-position model. The record is from RNAcentral.